Molecule: long non-coding RNA, 3421 nt
Filed under: Pongo abelii (Sumatran orangutan)
Lineage: Eukaryota; Metazoa; Chordata; Mammalia; Primates; Hominidae
Description: lincRNA
Source: RNAcentral
CUCAUCCUGGCUGCCCUCACCAUGGCCUGUCCAGAUGCAGGAGCUCCUCUCUGAAUCUGGGGCUACUGGCAGAACCAGUAAACACGGAGUUACUCCUGUACUGAGCUGAGUAAAAUAAUCUGACUGAGAGGAUACACUGGCCUCAGUUUCGAGAAAUGCGUUUGGCACCAAGCCCUGCAAGGGCUCCAAGGAGCAGCUUUGGGGGAGACCUGCCUCCAGGAAUAUGUACCCCACCCGACACAUCCUGGGAGCCCCGUUUGGGGUACAAACAACAGGAAAGCAUUGAUGCAUUUUUCAAAAUCCAGCAGGAGGGAGCCGUGGGCUGUGGAUGCUGGCUGGGAAAGCUCCUCGGGCACAGCCCUGUGGGCAGGGAGGGGAGGAGGGCUCAGCCCUCACACAGGCCGCCUGGCACCAGGAGUCACAGGCCUCAGCCUUGGCAUGUCCCCAGAGUUCCAACCGCCACUCUUGCAGAAGCGGCCCAGCAGGGUGAGGGUGGGGCCACGUGGGGCUCAGCUGCAGGAGGCACACCAGGGCCUGCACUUCUCCCCCGCAGUGACCUGGGGCAGGGCAUUCGUUCUCUUUGGAGAAAUUUCCUCGUUGGUGAAAUGAAAUCGCUGCUUGGCUUCAGCCACAUAAUGUUAGGCACGCUAACUGCAGCCCGGGCAACCUUAGACCCUCAGGAAAUCAACAGAGGGGUGCCAGCUCCCUGCACAGGUCCUGGCCUAUCUCGGGAUGCCACUCAGGGCCCUCGUCUUCCCAGCCUGUGGCUCUGUACUCAUGAGGCCCCAGAGGUGCUCUGUCCCUUCCCUUUCAGCCCCUCAGCCAGUGGGCAGCACACGGCCACCCAAACACAAGAGGCCAGGACCAUGGACAGCAGGGGGCACAGAGCCCAGGCCUCCGUGAUCCUAGGAACACGCAGCAUCCGGGAACACGGAAAGGAAAGAUGGAGACAUGGGGCAGAAGGAAGCUGAGCAGGGACACAGGCCCCCCUCACAUCACAGACAUGCCCGGCCAGAGCGACCUGCCACAAGGAGAAGCCAGCCCAGCUGCUCCUGUCCCUGAAAACCCGGAGAGAGGGCUAGCGGAGAGGCUGGCACCUGGGCCAAGAGAGGGGCUACUCAGUUCUUCCAGAACAUUCCAGUGUGGCCCAUGGACGCCGGCCUUCUGGUGUCCAUUCUGUCCUGUGUCACUUCGGUUGAUGAGCUGCUUGAGACCAGAACUGUCCGAAUCCAGAACCGCCCACUACCUUAUGUGAGGCUGUGGCCAGAAAGCAAGCCAGACUUCUGAAGCUGCCUGGGCCUGUCCGGACACAGGAGAAUCCGGCCAUGAAGGAGGGUAAAGGAGGAAGCCAGACCUGGCACAAGGACAGGGUAGGGACCCAGUGAGAUCUCCAGGGAGGAAGCCAGGGCUCCUACACUGGGGCUGCUGUUCUCCGGGAGGAACUCCACCCAAGGAGAGUUUGGGAUUAUCAUGAGAGACAGGACUGCGUUUGUGCACAAUGCAGUGCGUCAGGUGCUGGCCGGGGGGCCUCGGGCCUCAGGAAGGAGAGUCACCCACCAGGCCAACUAGGAAAGAUGAAAGGUGAGUGCCCCUACGGGAGAAAGCAAAGCUGAGACAGCAUCGCGAGCUGAGGGAGAAACUGACAGAUGGCAGUUUACCAAAACCCAAAAACUGGUCAUUCUCUGGCCUUUAACAAACCAAAGUAUAUUUCUCCCUCUGAAAUAAGAAACACAGGACAAUUAUUAAGUUCCAAAAGUACAUUUCAUUUUGGAGGCACGUUGUUGGUCCCCUUUGGAAUCAUGAACCCCUGUGAGCGAAACACCUCCCACCACUGAUUCUGACAGGGCGCCGCGGGCAGUUCCCGGCCCAGGUGGAGGCAGACAGGUGCAGAGCCACAGGGCCACCACUGCAGUCCGGCCUUCUCUCCAGCCCUGGGUGCACCCACGGUUAUCAGGGACCCGGCGCUGCCUCCCUGCACCCACACAGCUCUCCACAGCAGCAAACGGGGUACAUUAGGGUGGACGGGAUGUGGGGCCAGGGCCCUGCUAGGGCUGGGGCGGCCUGCGGAGGGCCGGCACCAAGCAGUUCUGGGUGUGGAGGGUGGCCCUAUGUCAGCUGUUAGACACGCAGGGGAGGCACCUCAGAUGGCUACAGGUUUGAUUGUGUCCCCACAAAAAUUCAUAUGUUGAAGUCCUAACCCCCAGCACUGCUGAAGGUGACCUUAUUUGGAAAUGGAGUCAUCAAAGAUAUCAUUGGCUACAUUAAGAUAAGGUUAUACUAGAGUAGGGGAACACCUAGCUUAUUGCGACUGGUGUCCUUAUAAAAAGAAGGAACCUGGACAUAUACAGGGAGAACGCCAUAGGAGGACAGAGGCUGAGAUCGGGGUGAAGCUUCUCUAAGCCAUGGAGAGCAGCCUAGAACCGACCCUUCCCCCACAGCCCUCGGAGGGCGGCCUGGAACCGACCCUUCCCUCACAGCCCUCGGAGGAGGGCCUGGAACCGACCCUUCCCUCACAGCCCUCGGAGGAGGGCCUGGAACCGACCCUUCCCCCACAGCCCUCGGAGGGCGGCCUGGAACCGACCCUUCCCUCACAGCCCUCGGAGGGCACCCACCCUGCCCACACCUUGGCCUCAGACAUGUGGCCUCUAGAACCUGUGCAGUGAGUUCCUGCUCCCGGCCUGUGGUCCUUCCACGUGGAAGCAAAGCAAACUCCUCCAGGCACAUUCACCGCCAUUGGCAUGGGCCUCCAACACUGACCAGAGCCUCCCGUCACAUCUGCCCCUUCCCACCACUCCCCAGCCCAGAUGCCACGCUGUAAAAACAGCCUCAAAAAAACAUGAGGUCCACAGCUCCUCCAGGAGACUGGGCCAGCCCCAAGCACAUCCAGAGAGGUGGCUCCUCUGACUGGAGGCUCGCGCCAAAGCCACACAGAGACAGCUGCCAUUCUCGCUCGCUCACGCUUCCCCCAGAGCCUAAACCCUGACCAGCCAGCUCUACACAUUUACAUCUUUUUCUGGCCUCACACACUGUCUAGAAUGUCCAGUUGAAUGUUGAGAAGUCGUGGUCAAAGCAAAAAGCCCAGCUUUAUCCCCAGUCUUAGUGGGUACGUGUUUGGUGUUUCACGUUAAGAUACUGGCUGGCGGUGGGGCACAGUGGCUCACGCCUGUAAUCCCAGCACUUUGGGAGGCCGAGGCGGGCGGAUCACAAGGUCAAAGGAUUGAGACCAUCCUGGCCAACAUGGUGAAACCCCAUCUCUACUAAAAAUACAGAAAUUAGCUGCGUGUGGUGGCAGACACCUGUAGUCCCAGCUACUCGGGAGGCUGAGACCGGAGAAUCACUUGAACGUGGGAGGCGGAGGUUGCAGUGAGCUGAGAUCGCAGCAUUGCACUCCAGCCUGGGUGACAGAACGAGACUCUAUCUC